Molecule: ribosomal RNA, 380 nt
Filed under: Sbordonia aff. parvula JCL-2017
Lineage: Eukaryota; Metazoa; Arthropoda; Arachnida; Opiliones; Stygnopsidae
Description: partial 16S ribosomal RNA
Rfam family: Bacterial large subunit ribosomal RNA
Source: RNAcentral
ACAAUCUAACCUGCUCUAUGUAUUAUAAAUGGCUGCGGUAAUCUGACUGUACCAAGGUAGCAUAAUCAUUAGUUCUUUAAUUGGGGGCUGGAAUGAAGGGUAUAAACCUUAUGGAGAGUUUUAUAAAAAUUUUUUGAAAUUAAAUUGGGGGUAAAAAUGCCUUCAUAAUACUUUGGGACGAGAAGACCCUAGAAGCUUAGGAUUUAAGAAUUUUUGGUUGGGGCGAUCAAAGGAAGAAAAGGAUCUUUCUUUUUGGGAGAAUUGAAGUUACUCUAGGGAUAACAGCGUAAUUUAAUUUGGGAGUCCUUAUUUUGAAUUAAGUUUGCGACCUCGAUGUUGAAUUAAAUGUAGGUUAGGUGAAGGGGCUUAGCUGAUUGGUC